Molecule: long non-coding RNA, 986 nt
Filed under: Nicotiana benthamiana
Lineage: Eukaryota; Viridiplantae; Streptophyta; Magnoliopsida; Solanales; Solanaceae
Description: long non-coding RNA (NBEN_LNC041598)
Source: RNAcentral
UUCUUUUCUUUCUUCUAAGUCUCUAUCUUUACUUGAACACCCCCACCCCCCCCUACUCUUUAGCAAGCACCUAGUUUAUAAAUACCUAUCCCAAAUAUAAAUUUUCCUCUCUAUAUUUCUUGCUUUUCAUUGAAAUCUUGUGAAAAAUAUUGGUUGGUUAUUUCUAUAAUCUUUUUUUCUUGUAUUUUGUAACCUUAGAGAGAAGAAACUAUAAUAAUCAAUCAGAAGUGAGAUAGGAAGACACGACAAAAGAGAGACUUUUCGAGCUUGAGCUUGCAAGCCGCAAACAACAACUUUAUAUCUUGAAGAGUUGGGAUGGAAGAAAAUUAUAAAGAAGAGAAAUUUGAGGCAAGGAAUACAAGUAAAAAUAACUAUUUUUGGAAAAUAAAGAAGACAUAUUGGAUUGGUUGCUUUGGAUUGUUCAUUAUAAGCAUGGGAGGUGGAGUAAUAUUGGGAUGGUGGAAUUCAAAGUUUCAUUCUUCAAAUAGUCAACUAUGGUUGGUGCCUUUAGGUCUCAUCUUGCUUAUUACACCAAUUAUAAUUUCUUUUGCUGUUCUCUUCGAUGCCAGUAACUACAGAGAAUUUGAUGAUCAAAUAGUCAAAUUGCCUCAAGAUUAUUCCCCUCAGCAUAUGGAGAUAUCAUUAUAAUUUACAGCACUAAUUACAUGUUUGUUAUUAUGAUCAUCAUUGAUUUUUGUGAUUACUUAAAGAAAGUAAGUAUUACUACUAUAGUUCUUUUAGUUUUUUUUUCUUCAUUUUGCAACUUAUAGACCAUUGAAUUUUGGGAGUUUGUUUUGAACUUGUUAUGCGUCUUUAUCGAUUAUAGCGUGCCAAAAAGGGAAACAGAUACCUUAUAUGUGUAAAAGAUUUUCUAUAUAUACACCAAAGGGAAAAAAAUGUAUAAUAUUUCUUGAGUAAUGUAAAUAAUAAGCUCUCUGUUUUAAAAAAGUAAUGAAAUGGUAAACUUAUUUGUUUUACUUAAGUAA